CUUCCGACCUUGUGUGGCAUCUUUCCGAACUCCCCCGACUGUCCGAGCUUCUAUAAUACCAUUCGGACUUCUCCGGUAAUGAGCUUUUCCAUUCAUCUACCGGGCUGCUCCAAACACUUUCCGAGCUUCUCCAACAGCAGGAUGUCUCAAGUAACCAGACUCCAUCCAAGUUUCUACGGCGGUCGACCGCCUUUCGAAUUUCAUCCGAGGUCCUACAAGAACCAAACUCCAUCCGAACUUAGACAGUGGAUGGAUCACAGAUGAACUUCUACGAUGGAUAGGCUCCACUGGAUCUCUACUCCAAACUUCUUUCGAACUUUGUCAAUGACCGAGCUUCUUUAGCAGUGGGACUUCUACAAUAAGAAGUCUCCAUCCGAGCUUCCACGGCAGCCGGCCUUCGUCCGAGCUUCUACAAUAAGAAGUCUCUAUCUAAACUCCUACAAGAGUCGGACUCCGUCCGAACUUCUACGAUAGAAUUGAAUCCCGGACUCCUCCAACGUUCGACCUUCCCCAGUGUCCUCAAGACUCCUCCAGCGGACGAACCUCCACAGCACCA
Molecule: long non-coding RNA, 556 nt
Filed under: Elaeis guineensis (African oil palm)
Lineage: Eukaryota; Viridiplantae; Streptophyta; Magnoliopsida; Arecales; Arecaceae
Description: long non-coding RNA (EGUI_LNC075278)
Source: RNAcentral